GGAGCUAUUUUAUGCUGUAAAAACAGCCACACGGGGGGAGAGCAGGAUGGCCAGGACGCCCUGAAGCGCCGCCGGGGGGCGGGGGCGGCAGCGCUUGCUGCUGGCACAGCCGGUCCGAGCAGCCAGAACCAGGACAAGCGGGAACUCCAGGCCCAGAGUCCCCGACAGCUGGCUAGGCCUUAGGAAACGGUCACAGAGUUUUAGGUUCACAGCAAAGUUAAGAGGAAGGUACAGAUUUCCCCUAGAGCCCCCGCCACCAGAGUGUCGAUGUGUUUUAACUGACAAAGGUAAACCGAGGCAUCAUCACCCGGCGUCCCGAGUUUGCCGGAGGGCUCACUCGUGGUCCUGUGCCGUCUGUGGGUCUGCACAAACGGUUUACCUUCUCCAGAAUGUCCCAGAGUUGGAAUCAUCUGUAGCCUUUUCAGAUCCGAUGCCUUCACGCGGCAGUGCGCAUUUACGGUUCCCCCACGUCUGUUCGUGACUGAAGGUGGGUGUCCCAGGGCGUUCGGCCAGGCACCGGGCAGCCCCCCGGGUGUGGCCAUCACACAUAAAGCCGUAAACAUCGUGUGCAGGUUCUGGGCGGACAGAGGUUUUCAGGUCGGGGUAAGUACCAAGAGUGCGACG
This is a long non-coding RNA of Hyaena hyaena (striped hyena), 624 nucleotides long. RefSeq lists it as uncharacterized. The record is from RefSeq and is a predicted model, not a curated record. NCBI's taxonomy places the organism in Eukaryota, Metazoa, Chordata, Mammalia, Carnivora, Hyaenidae. The transcript has 4 exons.